RNAcentral lists this long non-coding RNA (854 nucleotides) under Malus domestica (apple). RNAcentral describes it as "long non-coding RNA (MDOM_LNC011996)". The record is from RNAcentral. Lineage: Eukaryota; Viridiplantae; Streptophyta; Magnoliopsida; Rosales; Rosaceae.
CAGAACACCGUCGAAUUCCUCGUAGUCACCACACCUUUGUGAUUCCUGAACCUGGAGGGGCGCAAAACCAAAAUUGAGUGGGUCAGUAAAACAAUUCUUUUCCAAAUCCAAACAUUUUUCAAAACGUUGUAACCCCUCUCCGUAAAACCUGUAUAUUUUCCCAGAAAUGUAAAAUAUAAAUAUACAUAUAUAUUCUCAAAACUUCAUUUUUACUAUCUCAACAUUAUCUCUUUAUCAAUCAUGCCAUGCCAUGUCAUCUCAACAUUUCUCAUAUUAAUUAUGCCAUGCCACAUCAUCUCAACAGUAAUAAGGUAUGAAUGCAUCAACAUAAUCAUAUCAGGUGCAAGAAAGUAAUCAACCGUAGGCCCUCUAAUAGCCCUAUACGGUUGAACCUAGAGCUCAAAAUCUAUCAUUAUCACUCUACCGGAGUCACCUCUGUGACCCGUCCGGCCUUCUGCACACAAGUUACGCUCUAGUGCUUCUCAUAAAUCAUCUGUGCACAUAAUCUAAGGUCAACAAUACCAAUGUGUUCGUAUGGUCCUCACGAACAUGAUGGUACCUUCCUCAUCCUGAAACUGUGAAGUUUUCGAGAGCCUUGGUGUUUGUCCGAGAGUUUGAGAGAGAAUGAGGGAGUGUGAGAGUGACUGAGGGAGAGAUGAGGAAGAGAGAGAGAAGGAGACAACAAAACGGGAAAUGGGGAAGGAUUUCAGGAGGUAGGACCCUACAUAAAGUCCAAAUACAAAAUAUUAACACAUACAAUAAUAAAUCUAACCCUAGUUUAGGAUGUUUUUAGGUAAGUUUUACUUCGGAAAACCUAGAUUCUAAACUCCCCGUGAAAGUGCACUGUUCAUGAU